UCUAGAGGAAAAAAGGUAAUACUGUUUAAGGAAACCUUUAUUAUAUGGCGGCCUUUUUUCUUUUUAGAGGAACUCGUCUCAUAAUCGUUACUCCUCGUUAUUUCUUACUUUUUUUUAUCUCUUAUACCGCCGUCUUAAGAUUUAUUUUCCUUUUUUCUGAAAAAAAAAAUCUUACAAAGUCAGGUAAAGGUGAGGAUUGUAAAAAAGAGAAGAUAAGUUACCUAUAAAAUUUAUUUUAGGAUAUAUCUUUAACAUCAAUAUUGAAAGAGGAUUUAACAGUAAUUUUCUAUUAUUAUUUUAUAAUGAAUCAGUAAAUAGGUGU
This 322-nucleotide ribosomal RNA is filed under the name Conothele sp. MYG554. RNAcentral's name for it is "partial 12S ribosomal RNA". The record is from RNAcentral. Lineage: Eukaryota; Metazoa; Arthropoda; Arachnida; Araneae; Ctenizidae.